AUUGAACGCUGGCGGCAUGCCUUACACAUGCAAGCCGAACGGUAACAGGUCUUCGGAUGCUGACGAGUGGCGAACGGGUGAGUAAUACAUCGGAACGUGCCUAGUAGUGGGGGAUAACUACUCGAAAGAGUGGCUAAUACCGCAUGAGAUCUACGGAUGAAAGCAGGGGAUCGCAAGACCUUGUGCUACUAGAGCGGCCGAUGGCAGAUUAGGUAGUUGGUGUGAUAAAAGCUUACCAAGCCGACGAUCUGUAGCUGGUCUGAGAGGACGAUCAGCCACACUGGGACUGAGAAACGGCCCAGACUCCUACGGGAGGCAGCAGUGGGGAAUUUUGGACAAUGGGCGCAAGCCUGAUCCAGCAAUGCCGCGUGCAGGAUGAAGGCCUUCGGGUUGUAAACUGCUUUUGUACGGAACGAAAAGCCCCGGGUUAAUACCCUGGGGUCAUGACGGUACCGUAAGAAUAAGCACCGGCUAACUACGUGCCAGCCGCCGCCGUAA
Molecule: ribosomal RNA, 498 nt
Filed under: uncultured bacterium
Lineage: Bacteria
Description: partial 16S ribosomal RNA
Rfam family: Bacterial small subunit ribosomal RNA
Source: RNAcentral